UACGGGGGGGGCAAGCGUUGUUCGGAAUUACUGGGCGUAAAGGGCGCGUAGGCGGCCCGCUAAGUCGAACGUGAAAUCCCCGGGCUCAACCCGGGAACUGCGUCCGAUACUGGCAGGCUUGAAUCCGGGAGAGGGAUGCGGAAUUCCAGGUGUAGCGGUGAAAUGCGUAGAUAUCUGGAGGAACACCGGCGGCGAAGGCGGCAUCCUGGACCGGUAUUGACGCUGAGGCGCGAAAGCCAGGGGAGCAAACGGG
RNAcentral lists this ribosomal RNA (253 nucleotides) under uncultured bacterium. Its description in RNAcentral is "partial 16S ribosomal RNA". It matches the Rfam family "Bacterial small subunit ribosomal RNA", at positions 524 to 776 of the family's 1533-position model. The record is from RNAcentral.